UACAGGUAAAGAGUUGGACUUCUGCUGCUGCAGCUACACACACCUACAACCCAGACAUCACUGGCCAGAUGGCCACAGGUCAUGGGCAAACAGAAAGCAGGCCUAGCAUGACAGGCAUGAAAAAAAGCUCUCUCAUGACCUGCAUGCAGUUAACAACAUAACUGACUAUCAUUUCACUGACUUAUUUAUGAAAAUUUCCUCCACCUGAAAACCUGUCCCCCACAGUUACUAAAUGGCCAAACCUGUUGAUAUGUAAAACAAACCAGUCUUCAGCUGGAGGAAAUUCUCAUAAGUUCUCAUCACAUGAACAAAUCAAUAGCAAUGCUAACCAGUCAACAGCAAUAGGAUAAUAUCAUGAAAAUGAGGUACAUUACUAAACAAAUGGACUGAAAAACGAAAUGCAGGGAAGGUAAACAAAAAAAAAAGGGGGGGGGAGAAGGGGGAAUUAUUUUGUUUUUAUAAUUAAAACAUUCUGCCUCCUUCCCUGAUCACUUUAUCUCCCCUAACUGGCAAUUGCCUACCAACAUUCAUCCCUGGAAGUGCUGGCAGAGGCAGGGUGUGGACCAGAUUCAGAGGCACACAUUUUAUCACCACAUCUCCCAGUUCCACUCAGAUGACACAGUACUGAAAGCUGUCCACCACAGUUUUACCAUUGCUGUCAUCUAUAAGGCGUGAAGAUGUGGAUCUAACACAAAGUCCUGGGAUGAGAUCCUUGUGCCAAAGGCAAAAUUCUCAUUGACUUCACUAAGUUUGCAACCCUGAGUUACAAAGGUAAGCAAAAAUUCAUGAAAAGACCUUUUCCCUGUUAACCAAACAUAUAAAACCCUUCUCUUUCUGGUAUGUCAAGGAAAAUACAGGUCCUCUGCAUAUAGAAGACAAAUCAUGGGACUGAAAUAAUCAGUGUGUCCUCAGGUCCUAUGGCUCUCUCCAGAUUCCCAGAGGCAGCAGUAGCUCCUAAGUUCUGAUCCCAGGACCAUGCCCCAGCCACUUUAUACCGGAGCAAACUCCCUCACCUGCAAUGUGGGAGCCCAGGCAUGCACCGUACCUACCCCUCAGCCUAGCAGUGGACACAGAAGAAACCAAUGGAUACACAUCACUAGGAAGAAGUUGUGCUCUAAAUCCCCAUCAUGUCACAUGCUGUGACAUUUUCCCCUCUGAUUUCUCUGAAAUCAAUGUACAGUCAUUUCUUUCUCAGCUCACAACAGUGAAAGAUCUUCUGUAUAUGAGAAGGCUAUGGGUGUAUCCUUUAAAGAU
Non-coding RNA from Anas platyrhynchos (mallard), 1254 nucleotides. NCBI's taxonomy places the organism in Eukaryota, Metazoa, Chordata, Aves, Anseriformes, Anatidae. The record is from RefSeq and is a predicted model, not a curated record.